This 443-nucleotide ribosomal RNA is filed under the name uncultured bacterium. RNAcentral describes it as "partial 16S ribosomal RNA". It matches the Rfam family "Bacterial small subunit ribosomal RNA", at positions 338 to 795 of the family's 1533-position model. The record is from RNAcentral.
CCUACGGGAGGCAGCAGUGGGGAAUAUUGGGCAAUGGGCGCAAGCCUGACCCAGCAACGCCGCGUGAAGGAAGAAGGCCCUCGGGUUGUAAACUUCUUUUGUCAGGGACGAAGAAAGUGACGGUACCUGACGCAUAAGCCACGGCUAAAUACGUGCCAGCAGCCGCGGUAAUACGGAGGUGGCAAGCGUUAUCCGGAUUUACUGGGUGUAAAGGGCGUGUAGGCGGGACUGGAAGCCAGAUGUGAAAUUCCAGGGGCCAACCCUGGGACUGCCUUUGAAACUGUCGUUCUUGAGUGAGGGAGAGGCAGGCGGAAUGCGGGGUGUAGCGGGGAAAUGCGUAGAUAUACGGAGGAACACCAGUGGCGAAGGCGGCCUACUGGACAUUUACUGACGCUGAGGCGCGAAAGCGUGGGGAGCGAACAGGAUUAGAUACCCGAGUAGUC